CCAAUAGCGUAUAUUAAAGUUGUUGCAGUUAAAAAGCUCGUAGUUGAAUUUCGGGAUCAAUUUGCUGGUCGUGCCUUCGGUACGCACUGGUAUUAUUGGUUUCUCCUUUCUGAUGAAUCGCGAUGUCAUUAAUUUGGUGUCGUGGGGAAUCAGGACUGUUACUUUGAAAAAAUUAGAGUGUUUAAAGCAGGCUCACGCUUGAAUACAUUAGCAUGGAAUA
This 220-nucleotide ribosomal RNA is filed under the name uncultured Glomus. RNAcentral's name for it is "partial small subunit ribosomal RNA". It matches the Rfam family "Eukaryotic small subunit ribosomal RNA", at positions 591 to 816 of the family's 1831-position model. Lineage: Eukaryota; Fungi; Glomeromycota; Glomeromycetes; Glomerales; Glomeraceae. The record is from RNAcentral.